Molecule: long non-coding RNA, 785 nt
Filed under: Prunus persica (peach)
Lineage: Eukaryota; Viridiplantae; Streptophyta; Magnoliopsida; Rosales; Rosaceae
Description: long non-coding RNA (PPER_LNC002451)
Source: RNAcentral
GAUAGGGGAGAGAGAAGGAGAAAGGGUUUGUUUAAGAUUAUUUGUUUUUGUUUAUAAAUGUUUUUAAAUAUUUUAAAAAAGACUUUAUUUUUUGGUUUUUAAAUAUUUUAAAAGAUGUUAUGAUUUUUUUUUUUUUUUUUUUUUUAACUUGGAGCCCCCAAAGCCAAGAAAAAUAUUAGCCUACCAUUGACCAAAUUCCUGAGUCCGCCAUUGAACCUAACCACUGAUAGAGCACCCCUCGUCCCCCUAAGAUCAUACUUUUUAUUGAAUUCAAAGAAUGGUUUGAAACUUGAUUUUUGUUGAAUUAUAUUUUUGAGUUAUUCAAUAUUUUGGGAUUAAAUGUUGUUUGAGAUACCAUAUUCUAUUAAUUGAAACUUUACUUUCCAAUUAUUUCUGAGAUUAUUUUACCUACAUGUGAAUUUAUUAUAUUAUGUUCCUAUACAUAAAUUUGCUUGUGUUUUUAGUAAUUUUUCAAGGGUUUGAGAAAACAGAGGGGUUAGUAUGUUCUGUAUAACUAUUUUCAAGAAAAACUUUCUUUUUGUCCACCUACGCUUUUACUGUUUUGUGCCCCCAGGAAGUAGAUAGCUCAUAGUUCGAACGACCAUGUAAGCUACUCCGGCGUCGGUGAAGUCCUUGUAGUUCUACCUAGUAAGGAACUUCGUUUUCCGUUUUCGUUGUUUUUUUGGAACCUAACUUUGUAAAUUUAACUCCAGUAAUUGCUCUGAUAUUUCUUAAAAAGUACGGGUGAGAUGUGUAAAGUUAGUAGUGGGUCCGACAUCGUUCGG